AGAAAACUAACAAUUAUUAGAUAUCCAACGCCCUAGCCAGUAGCCAUAGACUAUUCCAAUUAAAAUUGCCAUAUCACUUAAAUGCUAUUGAAUUAAAUUUAAAAAAUUUGAAAUUUAAAUUGAGUGAUUAAAAUUAAAUUACUUAUUUUUCCUUAACGGCCAAACCCGUUGUUGCCAGUCAUACCACCGUUCCGUCCACUUUUGCAAGUGAUCCUCAUCCUUGUCGUCUUCACGCCACUGCUAUUCAUCAAUCUCGAGUUGACUACGGCGUGCUUGGUAAGUGGUGUGGAACCACAUGGGAUUUUUUAUUCGCAGCUCAUGCCAAAGUAGAAUGGUUGGUCGAGAAAGACGGGGUAUUUGCGGCGACACUCAUGCCACAGAUACUAUGAACGGCAAUAUGGUUGGGGUAAUUUUACCAAGGAAUUCAAG
This 429-nucleotide unclassified non-coding RNA is filed under the name Hevea brasiliensis (rubber tree). Lineage: Eukaryota; Viridiplantae; Streptophyta; Magnoliopsida; Malpighiales; Euphorbiaceae. The record is from RNAcentral.